Molecule: transfer RNA, 82 nt
Filed under: Bacteroidota bacterium
Lineage: Bacteria; Pseudomonadati; Bacteroidota
Also listed under: 1 other name
Description: Bacteroidetes bacterium (marine metagenome) tRNA-Leu
Rfam family: tRNA
About the family: Transfer RNA (tRNA) molecules are approximately 80 nucleotides in length. Their secondary structure includes four short double-helical elements and three loops (D, anti-codon, and T loops). Further hydrogen bonds mediate the characteristic L-shaped molecular structure. tRNAs have two regions of fundamental functional importance: the anti-codon, which is responsible for specific mRNA codon recognition, and the 3' end, to which the tRNAs corresponding amino acid is attached (by aminoacyl-tRNA synthetases). tRNAs cope with the degeneracy of the genetic code in two manners: having more than one tRNA (with a specific anti-codon) for a particular amino acid; and 'wobble' base-pairing, i.e. permitting non-standard base-pairing at the 3rd anti-codon position.
Source: RNAcentral
GCGGAUGUGGCGAAAUUGGUAGACGCGCUAGACUUAGGAUCUAGUGUCGCGAGACGUGGGGGUUCGAGUCCCUUCAUCCGCA